This 482-nucleotide ribosomal RNA is filed under the name uncultured bacterium. RNAcentral's name for it is "partial 16S ribosomal RNA". It matches the Rfam family "Bacterial small subunit ribosomal RNA", at positions 28 to 523 of the family's 1533-position model. The record is from RNAcentral.
AGUGAACGUCGGCGGCGUGGAUUAGGCAUGCAAGUCGAGCGAGAACCGUAGCAAUACGGGGACAGCGGCGAAAGGGACAGUAAUGUGUAGGUACCUACCCCGAGGUCUGGGAUAGCUGCGGGAAACUGCAGGCAAUACCGGAUAAUGUCUUCGGACCAAAGGUGUGAUUCCACCUUGGGAGGGGCCUGCAUCCUAUUAGCUAGUUGGCGGGGUAAUGGCCCACCAAGGCAACGAUGGGUAGCGGGUGUGAGAGCACGACCCGCGUCAUUGGGACUGAGACACUGCCCAGACACCUACGGGUGGCUGCAGUCGAGGAUCUUCGGCAAUGGGCGCAAGCCUGACCGAGCGACGCCGCGUGCGGGAUGAAGGCCUUCGGGUUGUAAACCGCUGUCGUAGAGGAGGAAAUGCAGGGGGGUUCUCCCCUCUGUUUGACCUAUUCUAGGAGGAAGGACGGGCUAAGUUCGUGCCAGCCGCCGCCGUAA